This 92-nucleotide ribosomal RNA is filed under the name Brevibacillus centrosporus. RNAcentral describes it as "16S rRNA. Bacterial SSU". It matches the Rfam family "Bacterial small subunit ribosomal RNA", at positions 1 to 99 of the family's 1533-position model. The record is from RNAcentral. Lineage: Bacteria; Bacillati; Bacillota; Bacilli; Caryophanales; Paenibacillaceae.
CUUUAUUGGAGAGUUUGAUCCUGGCUCAGGACGAACGCUGGCGGCGUGCCUAAUACAUGCAAGUCGAGCGAGUCUCUUCGGAGGCUAGCGGC